Molecule: long non-coding RNA, 493 nt
Filed under: Elaeis guineensis (African oil palm)
Lineage: Eukaryota; Viridiplantae; Streptophyta; Magnoliopsida; Arecales; Arecaceae
Description: long non-coding RNA (EGUI_LNC020618)
Source: RNAcentral
AUCAGAAACAGAUCAAUUUAACCCACUUUGCAGGCUUUCUACCGACCUCCAUGACUUUACUAACUGCAUUGCUUGGCACCCUCUAACUUUAUAAUUACAUAAAUUACAUGUUUUUGCAUUACUAAUAGGAAAUGGGCGAGAACCCAAAUUAAACUUUUCCAUGUUAGUCAUGUUAAUUUUCAAUAAGAAAAAUCAAUAUUUUUUUAUUAAGAGAGUUAUUUAAUCUCUCUCUCGUGAGCAGGUGGAAUAAUUUAGGAAGGGGUCCAUCUCUAAUGAGUUAGAACCUAGUCGGAGAUAGUUAGAAGAGAUCUGAUAAAGUCUUAUUUCAGAUAAUUCGGAAGGAAGUAUUUUGAGAAUGGAAAAGUUUUCAUACCAUACAUCAUCAUACUUAGAUUUAGGAUUUAAGAUUUUAGAAUGUCAAAAAUAAAUAUCUAAUGAUUUUUAAAAUUAAUAACUUAAGUGGUGUGGGAGCUUGGCACGUUUACAAUGUGGG